CAGCAGAACCGUGAGAUGCUCAAGAUCAUUUUCAAGGCAGGCUACCAGUACCAGGGGCGCUACGGGCAUCUGGAGUACGCACAAUUGUUCGUCGAGCGUGCCUAUGAGCUUACCCGAUCCGCAACCUCCGCGAUCGCUUACGUGCUGCCUCGUCAGUUUCUGGUAUUAUCCGGCUGGUCCGAACUUCGAGAGAUC
This 195-nucleotide unclassified non-coding RNA is filed under the name plant metagenome. RNAcentral describes it as "partial contains 5.8S ribosomal RNA, internal transcribed spacer 2, and large subunit ribosomal RNA". The record is from RNAcentral.